GGAUGAACGCUGGCGGCGUGCCUAAUACAUGCAAGUCGAGCGAACAGAUGAGGAGCUUGCUCCUCUGACGUUAGCGGCGGACGGGUGAGUAACACGUGGAUAACCUACCUAUAAGACUGGGAUAACUUCGGGAAACCGGAGCUAAUACCGGAUAAUAUAUUGAACCGCAUGGUUCAAUAGUGAAAGACGGUUUUGCUGUCACUUAUAGAUGGAUCCGCGCCGCAUUAGCUAGUUGGUAAGGUAACGGCUUACCAAGGCAACGAUGCGUAGCCGACCUGAGAGGGUGAUCGGCCACACUGGAACUGAGACACGGUCCAGACUCCUACGGGAGGCAGCAGUAGGGAAUCUUCCGCAAUGGGCGAAAGCUUGACGGAGCAACGCCGCGUGAGUGAUGAAGGUCUUCGGAUCGUAAAACUCUGUUAUUAGGGAAGAACAAAUGUGUAAGUAACUAUGCACGUCUUGGCGGUACCUAAUCAGAAAGCCACGGCUAACUACGUG
RNAcentral lists this ribosomal RNA (498 nucleotides) under uncultured bacterium. RNAcentral describes it as "partial 16S ribosomal RNA". It matches the Rfam family "Bacterial small subunit ribosomal RNA", at positions 27 to 507 of the family's 1533-position model. The record is from RNAcentral.